GGCUCAGAUGGUAAGGUAUCUGCCUGCAAUGCAGGAGACCCAGGUUCAAUCCCUGG
This 56-nucleotide transfer RNA is filed under the name Bos taurus (domestic cattle). Lineage: Eukaryota; Metazoa; Chordata; Mammalia; Artiodactyla; Bovidae. RNAcentral also lists the same sequence under 2 other names. The record is from Rfam by way of RNAcentral.